RNAcentral lists this ribosomal RNA (429 nucleotides) under Bacteroidota bacterium. RNAcentral's name for it is "Bacteroidetes bacterium partial 16S ribosomal RNA". It matches the Rfam family "Bacterial small subunit ribosomal RNA", at positions 355 to 776 of the family's 1533-position model. The record is from RNAcentral. Lineage: Bacteria; Pseudomonadati; Bacteroidota.
UAGGGAAUCUUCCGCAAUGGACGCAAGUCUGACGGAGCAACGCCGCGUGAGUGAAGAAGGAUUUCGGUUCGUAAAACUCUGUUGUUAGAGAAGAACAGCGCAUAGAGUAACUGUUAUGCGUGUGACGGUAUCUAACCAGAAAGCCACGGCUAACUACGUGCCAGCAGCCGCGGUAAUACGUAGGUGGCAAGCGUUGUCCGGAUUUAUUGUGCGUAAAGCGAGCGCAGGCGGUCAAUUAAGUCUGAUGUGAAAGCCCCCGGCUCAACCGGGGAGGGUCAUUGGAAACUGGUUGACUUGAGUGCAGAAGAGGAGAGUGGAAUUCCAUGUGUAGCGGUGAAAUGCGUAGAUAUAUGGAGGAACACCAGUGGCGAAGGCGACUCUCUGGUCUGUACCUGAAGCUGAGGCUCGAAAGCGUGGGUAGCAAACAGG